CAGCCGCCGCGGUAAUACGUAGGGGGCGAGCGUUGUCCGAAGUUACUGGGCGUAAAGCGCGCGUAGGCGGCUUCUUAAGUCUGAGGUGAAAGGUUCAACGCUUAACGUGAACAGUGCCUUGGAUACUGGGGAGCUUGAGUAUGGGAGAGGGCAGUGGAAUGGCUGGUGUAGCGGUGAAAUGCGUAGAUAUCAGUCGGAACACCCAUGGCGAAGGCAGCUGCCUGGCCUAAUACUGACGCUGAGGUGCGAAAGCGUGGGGAGCGAACGGGAUUAGAUACCCCAGUAGUCCCUGUCUCUUAUA
This 301-nucleotide ribosomal RNA is filed under the name uncultured bacterium. RNAcentral describes it as "partial 16S ribosomal RNA". It matches the Rfam family "Bacterial small subunit ribosomal RNA", at positions 509 to 808 of the family's 1533-position model. The record is from RNAcentral.